Molecule: transfer RNA, 72 nt
Filed under: Setora sinensis
Lineage: Eukaryota; Metazoa; Arthropoda; Insecta; Lepidoptera; Limacodidae
Description: tRNA-Leu
Source: RNAcentral
ACUAUUUUGGCAGAAAAGUGUAAUGAUUUUAGAAAUCAAUAAUAUAUAAUGAUUUCAAUUAUAUAGAUAGUA